RNAcentral lists this ribosomal RNA (1402 nucleotides) under uncultured soil bacterium. Its description in RNAcentral is "bacterial SSU rRNA". It matches the Rfam family "Bacterial small subunit ribosomal RNA", at positions 28 to 1381 of the family's 1533-position model. The record is from RNAcentral.
GAUGAACGCUGGCGGCGUGGAUAAGGCAUGCAAGUCGAACGGACUUUCUAAAAUCGGAGAUGAGAUUAUAUCAAGUCAAAGGUCGUAGAAAGUUAGUGGCGAACGAGGUAGUAAUACAUAGGAACUUCCCCUUCAGUCGUGAAUAAUCCGUCGAAAGACGGACUAAUACACGAUGGUCUCAAAGAUUAAUUUCUGCGAGUAAAGUUUUAACGCUGGAGGAAAGGCCUGUGCGAUAUCAGCUAGUUGGUAGUGUAAUGGACUACCAAGGCUAUGACGUCUAGGGGAGCUGAGAGGCUGACCCCCACCGAUGGUACUGAGACACGGACCAUACACCUACGGGUGGCUGCAGUCGAGAAUCUUCCACAAUGGACGAAAGUCUGAUGGAGCGACGCCGCGUGAUUGAUGAAGUCCCUCUGGGACGUAAAGAUCUUUUAUGAGGGAAGAAGUUUAUUGACUGUACCUCAUGAAUAAGAGGCUCCUAAUCUCGUGCCAGCAGGAGCGGUAAUACGAGAGCCUCGAGCGUUAUCCGGAAUUAUUGGGCGUAAAGGGUGCGUAGGUUGUUCUGUUAGUCUUUUGUCAAAGCCCCGAGCUUAACUUGGGAUAUGCGAAGGAAACGGCAGAACUUGAAAGUGCGAGAGGUAUACAGAACUCAUGGUGUAGGGGUGAAAUCCGUUGAUAUCAUGGGGAAUACCAAAUGCGAAGGCAGUAUACUGGCGCAUAUUUGACACUGAAGCACGAAAGCGUGGGUAGCGAAUGGGAUUAGAUACCCCAGUAGUCCACGCCCUAAACGAUGAUCUCUCGCUAUUCGGAGUAUCGACCCUCUGAGUGGCUUAGCUAACGCGUUAAGAGAUCCGCCUGGGAAGUACGGCCGCAAGGCUAAAACUCAAAGGAAUAGACGGGGACUUGCACAAGCAGUGGAUUAUGUGGUUUAAUUCGAUGGUAAACGAAGAACCUUACCAGGGUUAGAAAUCCUAGUGAAAGCCCGAGGAAACUCGGGCCCUCGCAAGACUCUAGGACAGGUGAUGCAUGGCCGUCGUCAGUUCGUGGUUUGAAUUGUACCCUUAAGUGGGCUAACGAACGCAACCCUCGUUGUGUGUUACAAGUGUCACACGAGACCGCCCCCGCCUAAGAUCAUAAUUUUAAAUUAUAAAUUUUUAAUUUUAAAUUGUGCAUUUAGGCGGGGGAGGAAGGAGAGGAUGACGCCAGGUCAGCAUGUCCCUUUGAUACCCUGGGCUACACACAUAAUACAAUGGCCACUACAACGCGUUGCGACGAGGUGACUCUGAGCUAAUCGUUUAAAAGUGGCCUCAGUUCGGAUUGGAGGCUGCAACUCGCCUCCAUGAAGCUGGAAUUGCUAGUAAUCGCAGGUCAGCUAAACUGCGGUGAAUACGUUCUCAAGUCU